This 458-nucleotide ribosomal RNA is filed under the name uncultured bacterium. RNAcentral's name for it is "partial 16S ribosomal RNA". It matches the Rfam family "Bacterial small subunit ribosomal RNA", at positions 338 to 795 of the family's 1533-position model. The record is from RNAcentral.
CCUACGGGCGGCAGCAGUGAGGAAUAUUGGUCAAUGGGCGAGAGCCUGAACCAGCCAAGUCGCGUGAGGGAGUACUGCCCUAUGGGUUGUAAACCUCUUUUGUCGGGGAGCAAAAGCCGGACGUGUCCGGCUGUGAGAGUACCCGAAGAAAAAGCAUCGGCUAACUCCGUGCCAGCAGCCGCGGUAAUACGGGGGAUGCGAGUGUUAUCCGGAUUUAUUGGGGUUAAAGGGUGCGCAGGCGGAUUUUUAAGUCAGCGGUCAAAUCGUGGGGCUCAACCCCAUCCAGCCGUUGAAAAUGGGGAUCUAGAGUGUGCGAGAGGUAUGCGGAAUGCGUGGUGUAGCGGUGAAAUGCAUAGAUAUCACGCAGAACCCCGAUUGCGAAGGCAGCAUACCGGUGCACAACUGACGCUCAGGCACGAAAGCGUGGGUAUCGAACAGGAUUAGAUACCCUUGUAGUC